CCCCUAGAUGUUCUGGGCCGCACGCGCGCUACACUGAACAGUUCAACAAGUCUUAACCUUGGCCGAUAGGUCUGGGUAAUCUUUGAACGCUGUUCGCGAUUGGGAUAGACCUUUGCAAUUAUGGGUCUUCAACGAGGAAUUCCUAGUAAACGCAAGUCAUCAGCUUGCAUUGAUUACGUCCCUGCCCUUUGUACACACCGCCCGUCGCACCUACCGAUUGAAUGGUCCGGUGAAAUCUCGGGACGGCGGCUUGGUCGCUUGCGUCCGACUGCUGAAACUUGAUUAAACCAUAUCAUUUAGAGGAAGGUGAAGUCGUAACA
RNAcentral lists this ribosomal RNA (320 nucleotides) under uncultured eukaryote. Its description in RNAcentral is "partial 18S ribosomal RNA". It matches the Rfam family "Eukaryotic small subunit ribosomal RNA", at positions 1470 to 1796 of the family's 1831-position model. The record is from RNAcentral.